This 73-nucleotide transfer RNA is filed under the name Stegodyphus mimosarum. It matches the Rfam family "tRNA". From Rfam's summary of the family: Transfer RNA (tRNA) molecules are approximately 80 nucleotides in length. Their secondary structure includes four short double-helical elements and three loops (D, anti-codon, and T loops). Lineage: Eukaryota; Metazoa; Arthropoda; Arachnida; Araneae; Eresidae. The record is from Rfam by way of RNAcentral.
GCUUUCGUGGUGUAAUGGUCAGCACACUCGGCGCGUAUUCGAGAGGUCCGAGGUUCGAGUCCCGGCGAGAGCC